Molecule: long non-coding RNA, 430 nt
Organism: Myotis lucifugus (little brown bat)
Lineage: Eukaryota; Metazoa; Chordata; Mammalia; Chiroptera; Vespertilionidae
Exons: 3
Source: RefSeq, a predicted model, not a curated record
GAAUCUGUGGCUGGGCCUGCAAGCCUCCUCCUCCUCCUGCCCUCGCCCAGCCUGGCAGCCAACAUGAGGCUCUUCCACAUCCUGCUGCUGCCUCUCUGCCUGCUCUUUGCCCAGGUGGGCCCAGCUUUGGUUUAGCCACAGUGGGGCACCAACCUCAGACGGAGGGCACAGACCUCAGACGGAGGGCAUAGACCUCAGAGGGCACAGACCUCAGAAGAAGGGCACAGACCUUAGAUGGAGGGGACAGACCUCAGAUGGAGGGGACAGGACUUUGCAUGAGCUGCCGAGGUGCUGGCCUCCUUGCGAGUCUGUUACACAGGAGUCCAGAAUACACAUGCGCCAAGCAGGGGGGGACCUGCAACUUCUCCCCGUGCCCGCUCUACACCCAAGUCAAGGGCUACUGCUACAGAGGGAAGGCCAAGUGCUGCAU